RNAcentral lists this ribosomal RNA (459 nucleotides) under uncultured bacterium. RNAcentral describes it as "partial 16S ribosomal RNA". It matches the Rfam family "Bacterial small subunit ribosomal RNA", at positions 339 to 795 of the family's 1533-position model. The record is from RNAcentral.
CUACGGGGCGCUCCAGUAAGGAAUAUUGGUCAAUGGGCGCGAGCCUGAACCAGCCAUCCCGCGUGCAGGAUGACGGCCCUAUGGGUUGUAAACUGCUUUUCUAUGCCAAGAAACCCUGUUACGAGUAACAGGUUGCCGGUAGCAUAGGAAUAAGCAUCGGCUAACUCCGUGCCAGCAGCCGCGGUAAUACGGAGGAUGCAAGCGUUAUCCGGAUUCAUUGGGUUUAAAGGGUGCGCAGGUGGGCUUGUAAGUCAGUGGUGAAAUGCUGCCACUUAACGGUAGAACUGCCAUUGAUACUGCGAGUCUUGAGUAUGGUGGAGGUAGGCGGAAUGUGUUGUGUAGCGGUGAAAUGCAUAGAUAUGACACAGAACGCCAAUUGCGAAGGCAGCUUACUAAGCCAUUACUGACGCUGAGGCACGAAAGCGUGGGGAGCGAACAGGAUUAGAUACCCUCGUAGUC